This 74-nucleotide transfer RNA is filed under the name Hyphomicrobiales bacterium. Its description in RNAcentral is "tRNA-Gly". It matches the Rfam family "tRNA". From Rfam's summary of the family: Transfer RNA (tRNA) molecules are approximately 80 nucleotides in length. Their secondary structure includes four short double-helical elements and three loops (D, anti-codon, and T loops). Further hydrogen bonds mediate the characteristic L-shaped molecular structure. tRNAs have two regions of fundamental functional importance: the anti-codon, which is responsible for specific mRNA codon recognition, and the 3' end, to which the tRNAs corresponding amino acid is attached (by aminoacyl-tRNA synthetases). tRNAs cope with the degeneracy of the genetic code in two manners: having more than one tRNA (with a specific anti-codon) for a particular amino acid; and 'wobble' base-pairing, i.e. permitting non-standard base-pairing at the 3rd anti-codon position. Lineage: Bacteria; Pseudomonadati; Pseudomonadota; Alphaproteobacteria; Hyphomicrobiales. The record is from RNAcentral. RNAcentral also lists the same sequence under 1 other name.
GCGGGUGUAGCUCAAUGGUAGAGCAGCAGCCUUCCAAGCUGACGAUGGGGGUUCGAUUCCCCUCACCCGCUCCA